CAAUCCCUCACUGCAAUUAUGAAGUUUGAAGGGGCUUCUCCUAUGCCACAAGGUCAAGAAAGGGGAGAAGAAACUUCACAUGUUGUUCAUUUAGGAUCAUCUUGCAAAUUAAAAUGGUUACCUUGGAUGGGUACAAGGAGGAAAAUAUGUAUACCAAUUGAAUCUGUGAUGGGUAUGGAUUUUCAUACUAGGAUACUUGUCAG
Molecule: long non-coding RNA, 203 nt
Organism: Musa acuminata AAA Group (dessert banana)
Lineage: Eukaryota; Viridiplantae; Streptophyta; Magnoliopsida; Zingiberales; Musaceae
Exons: 3
Source: RefSeq, a predicted model, not a curated record